This 427-nucleotide ribosomal RNA is filed under the name uncultured prokaryote. RNAcentral describes it as "bacterial SSU rRNA". It matches the Rfam family "Bacterial small subunit ribosomal RNA", at positions 355 to 774 of the family's 1533-position model. The record is from RNAcentral.
UAGGGAAUCUUCGGCAAUGGACGAAAGUCUGACCGAGCAACGCCGCGUGAGUGAAGAAGGUUUUCGGAUCGUAAAGCUCUGUUGUAAGAGAAGAACAUUGAUGGGAGUGGAAAAUCCAUUAAUUGACGGUACCUUACCAGAAAGGGACGGCUAACUACGUGCCAGCAGCCGCGGUAAUACGUAGGUCCCGAGCGUUGUCCGGAUUUAUUGGGCGUAAAGCGAGCGCAGGCGGUUUUAUAAGUCUGAAGUUAAAGGCUGUGGCUCAACCAUAGUUUGCUUUGGAAACUGUAGAACUUGAGUGCAGAAGGGGAGAGUGGAAUUCCAGGUGUAGCGGUGAAAUGCGUAGAUAUAUGGAGGAACACCGGUGGCGAAAGCGGCUCUCUGGUCUGUAACUGACGCUGAGGCUCGAAAGCGUGGGGAGCAAACA